UACGGAGGGAGCUAGCGUUAUUCGGAAUUACUGGGCGUAAAGCGCACGUAGGCGGCUUUGUAAGUAAGAGGUGAAAGCCCAGAGCUCAACUCUGGAAUUGCCUUUUAGACUGCAUCGCUUGAAUCAUGGAGAGGUCAGUGGAAUUCCGAGUGUAGAGGUGAAAUUCGUAGAUAUUCGGAAGAACACCAGUGGCGAAGGCGGCUGACUGGACAUGUAUUGACGCUGAGGUGCGAAAGCGUGGGGAUCAAACAGG
RNAcentral lists this ribosomal RNA (253 nucleotides) under uncultured bacterium. RNAcentral describes it as "partial 16S ribosomal RNA". It matches the Rfam family "Bacterial small subunit ribosomal RNA", at positions 524 to 776 of the family's 1533-position model. The record is from RNAcentral.